Molecule: long non-coding RNA, 748 nt
Filed under: Elaeis guineensis (African oil palm)
Lineage: Eukaryota; Viridiplantae; Streptophyta; Magnoliopsida; Arecales; Arecaceae
Description: long non-coding RNA (EGUI_LNC056420)
Source: RNAcentral
CUUCUCCGACAUCUUCUUCUCCUUCUCUGGCCAGAUCCCAACUUGAUGCCUCCCCGAAAGGCAUCCACCAGGCGAUCUAUGGCCUCUAUGGCUAGAUCUCAGCAAGAUCCGCCAGCUCCAGCCUCAUCUCUAAUUUUUCAAGCUCCUCCUCCGGCAACGACAGUCGGCAUGGAGUAGUUUGACCUGCUAGUUCAACAGGUCAGGGGCCUCACUGAAGCAGUGCAGGCCAUGCAGCAGCAGUAGCCGCAGGCAUCGGUGUGGCUGGAAAGAGCAUCAUCGGAGUUCCAGAAUUUGACGAUCAGGCGGCCCACUUUGGCCAGUCACCCUGUAUCCCCCGAAAAGGAGAAGCAGAAGGUGGAGAGCCCUCUGUCUGAUCAUGAUUUCACCCCCGGAGGGUCCCUACCUUCGUUCUGCCAGAAGACCCUCGAGAUGCACGAUCGAGAGGAUCUCCUGGAUCGAAGGUUUCGAGAGAUGAACUGACAGAUCGAAGAGCUCCACCAUGCUCUCCCUGCUUACAGUGAGGAUAUCUAUACUAACCCUCCUUUUUCUCAAAAAAUUAUGCAGGAACCGAUCCCAUCGAACUUCAAGCUCCUCCAAUUUGAAAACUACGAGGGGACCUCAGAUCCGGUUGAUCACCUGGAGGCCUUCUGGAUAAUGAUGUUCGUCAUCCAUCUUCUUUGAUUUUUUCGUUAGGUGACGAACUUUUCUUCUCAGAUCUCGGAUCAUAGAUUUCAGAGGAAUCCCCUGC